Molecule: long non-coding RNA, 215 nt
Filed under: Pan troglodytes (chimpanzee)
Lineage: Eukaryota; Metazoa; Chordata; Mammalia; Primates; Hominidae
Description: long non-coding RNA NONPTRT014469
Source: RNAcentral
ACAUUACUGUGAUCUUAUCCCAUCUAUGCAUAAUGCAACCAUUGUUUGUCAAACAUUUUUUUUUAAACAGUGAAAUUCUUUCUUUAAAACACACACACACACACACACACACACACAGUUGGUUAGACAGGCAUCAGAUAAAAGCAGGCUCAGGCUGGCCCUGGCUGAAGGUAGGAAGAGCCAACUUCUUGAAAAACUCUGUGCGUAAGAGGCCC